RNA transcript from Triplophysa rosa, 1613 nucleotides. It is a transcript of the gene named butyrophilin-like protein 2, with no coding region annotated. The transcript is spliced from 6 exons. Lineage: Eukaryota; Metazoa; Chordata; Actinopteri; Cypriniformes; Nemacheilidae. The record is from RefSeq and is a predicted model, not a curated record.
AAGUGAAAGUACAAUAAUGAAACUGAAAGUAACAGCGGGUCUGGCGACAUCUUAUGAACAUGUACCUCCGUCAGCAUAAAAAUUUACUUCACGGUAGUUUAUAUUAGACAUGCUUGUUUUGUAUAACGUUGUUUAUUUGAAGAUGCACCUGCCUAACUUUCUUUUAAUGUCAGCGCUGCUGCUGAUCGCUGAUGGGUUCACAGUGAAGGGUCCGUCAGGUCCUCUGGUUGUUCCUCUGGGAGGUUCAGUUCUUCUGCCCUGUUCUGUUGAUUCACUCUCAUCACUGGAGGGUCUGGAGGUGGAAUGGAAGAGAUCAGACUCACAGACUCUCAUUCAUCUGUAUCAAGAUGGAGAUAUUAGACCAGAUUCCCAGCAUGAGGAUUAUCAUGACAGAGCUCAUUUCUUCACUGAGAACAUUAAACAGGGAAACUUCUCCCUCCUGAUGAAGAAUGUGAGACAAGAAGAUAAAGGACAAUACACAUGUACGGUUCACAGUGGACAAGAGACUGGUGAAACUGUGGUGGAAAUUAAAGAUGUUGAGCGUCUGAUAGUGUCAGGAUCAGAUCAGUCUUUAUCUGUGUAUGUGGGUGAAGACGUGACUCUGAACUGCUCUGUGGACUCUCACAUCCCACCUGAACACAUUGAAGAGGUUUCAUGGAAGAAAAGAGUUAAAGAUGAACACAUCACAGUUCUGCUCUAUCAAAACAAUGAGACUUUUCCAGAUUCAUCAGAUGAGCAAUACAGAGACAGAGUCGAGUUCUUCAUUGAUGAAAUCCACAGAGGAAACUUCUCUCUCAGACUGAAGAGAGUCAGAACUGAAGAUAAAGGACUUUACAUGUGUCACGUGUUUGCUGGACGAUUCUCAGACAACACAACUAUAGUACUGCAACAAAUGGGAGACCAACCGUUGAGGAAUAUUGACACUGAUUGUUUUCAAAAAACAAAGAGUAAAUAUUGAGUAAUGGCACUGAGCAUGCAUUAACGAUGUGGGCAGUUGUGGUCUAAUGGCUAGAGAUUCAGAUUCGUGACCAGAAGGUGGCCGGUAUCGACUGAGGUGCCCUUGAGCAAGGCACCUUACCCCUACUUGCUCCCCUGGCGCUGCGGUGAUAGCUGCCCACUGCUCCGGGUGUAUAUGUGUUCACCACUUGCAGUGCGUGAGUUCACUACUCACUGGACGGGUUAAGCUCACCAUAGCUGACAAAUAGGUCACUCUCAGAGAACAUGUCCAGUGGAGGAUAAUCAAGAACUGGCCAAAGAAGAAGUCAAUGGCUGUGGUUGAGGUGGAUGGACACAGCAUGGGCUGCCAGAUGACCCUUUAACAAUGCGACACACACCCAGGUCUGAUCAACCUGCGGUGGGCCUCCCUUGGCUGAGGGUGUCUUGUGAUAAAGGGCCGAAACACCUGACGAUGUGUCGGGAUUGAUGGGAACCAAACAAAGGGCAUUAUCAGCAGCACCUCACCACCAAAAGAAAUGUCUCUCUGAUAAUAGCAAGGAAAGGUUUCUCUUCUUUACACAUAAUGGUGUUGAUUCUGUGUAUUACUGCGUGUGGAUCUGCUCUUCUGGUCUGUUGUCUCAUCUACUGCAGAAACAACACGGGGUUUCGUGUGGAAG